This 470-nucleotide ribosomal RNA is filed under the name uncultured bacterium. Its description in RNAcentral is "bacterial SSU rRNA". It matches the Rfam family "Bacterial small subunit ribosomal RNA", at positions 335 to 802 of the family's 1533-position model. The record is from RNAcentral.
ACUCCUACGGGAGGCAGCAGUGGGGAAUAUUGCACAAUGGGGGAAACCCUGAUGCAGCCAUGCCGCGUGUGUGAAGAAGGCCUUCGGGUUGUAAAGCACUUUCAGUAGGGAGGAAGGUAGUGUAGUUAACACCUGCAUUAUUUGACGUUACCUACAGAAGAAGCACCGGCUAACUCCGUGCCAGCAGCCGCGGUAAUACGGAGGUGCGAGCGUUAAUCGGAAUUACUGGGCGUAAAGCGCAUGCAGGCGGCCUGUUAAGUCAGAUGUGAAAGCCCGGGGCUUAACCUCGGAAUUGCAUUUGAAACUGGCAGGCUAGAGUCUUGUAGAGGGGUUAGAAUUUCAGGUGUAGCGGUGAAAUGCGUAGAGAUCUGAAGGAAUACCAGUGGCGAAGCGGCCCCUGGACAAAGACUGACGCUCAGAUGCGAAAGCGUGGGAGCAAACAGGAUUAGAUACCCCGUGGUAGACUGUCA